GACGAACGCUGGCGGCGUGCUUAACACAUGCAAGUCGAACGGAAAGGCCCUGCUUUUGUGGGGUGCUCGAGUGGCGAACGGGUGAGUAACACGUGAGUAACCUGCCCUUGACUUUGGGAUAACUUCAGGAAACUGGGGCUAAUACCGGAUAGGAGCUCCUGCUGCAUGGUGGGGGUUGGAAAGUUUCGGCGGUUGGGGAUGGACUCGCGGCUUAUCAGCUUGUUGGUGGGGUAGUGGCUUACCAAGGCUUUGACGGGUAGCCGGCAUGAGAGGGUGACCGGCCACAUUGGGACUGCGGUACGGCGCAGACUCCUACGGGAGGCAGUAGUGGGGAAUAUUGCACAAUGGGCGGACGCCUGAUGCAGCAGCGCCGCGUGCGGGAUGACGGCCUUCGGGGUGUAAACCGCUUUCGCCUGUGACGAAGCGUGAGUGACGGUAAUGGGUAAAGAAGCACCGGCUAACUACGUG
RNAcentral lists this ribosomal RNA (468 nucleotides) under uncultured bacterium. Its description in RNAcentral is "partial 16S ribosomal RNA". It matches the Rfam family "Bacterial small subunit ribosomal RNA", at positions 28 to 507 of the family's 1533-position model. The record is from RNAcentral.